This 358-nucleotide unclassified non-coding RNA is filed under the name Hevea brasiliensis (rubber tree). Lineage: Eukaryota; Viridiplantae; Streptophyta; Magnoliopsida; Malpighiales; Euphorbiaceae. The record is from RNAcentral.
AAUUCAUGUCGCUUGUAACAGCUGGAAAUUUUACAAGUGCAAUGAAACCCUUAAAUAAGAAAAAGUAGAAUCAAUUAAAAAGUUUGUGUAGAAUUUAUUGUUCGCAUGCAUCUAUGAACAACCCACUUUGGAAACUAACCAAAAAUAAUGAAGGAGACAUCCCAAAUAUUCAGAAAGCGACCUUAUCGACCUCUGAUGAAAAAAGGUAACCAAAGAGAUGAUAUAUUUGGCUCAAAUGUCGAAUUUCACGUGCUCGUGCCCGUGCCGGUGGGAAACCAAUAAUAUAGCAAAGUUAUUUUCUUUUAUUUUUAAAGUAAAAUAUAUAUAUAUUUAUCUCAAAAUUUGAUUUUGUAAACAA